CCGACCUGAAUGAAGACGAGCUAGGCAGUCCUCCGCUGUUGCUAACUAAACUGCGGAACUACAGCGGCGGUACAGUCCGUUGCUCGUCGUUUGUAGCUGGAAGUUGAUACACAGCGUUCACACGAAGGCCUCUCUUAUCCAUCACUACUCUGAGUAGCUUAUCCACUGCAGCUAAGAUAGCUAACGAGAACCGUCACAAGUUUGUAGUUAAGUUAAUGUUGGCUAGUUGCGUCGUUUGACAGCUAACGCUAACAAGCUAGUCUAAUUGGUAUUCGACGUCAGUUUCAAAACAAAGCCCGCAAAACCGUGAAGUUGAGACUCAGCUGUCACCUCCAGAAAAGCCUGCUGCAAGACAAGCUAGCUAGGUUUAAGUUUGUCAGCCCACCGAAGAUAAAUUGCGCUAUUCAGCUGCUGUUUAAAACACUCAGUUAAUGCCCAAUCAACGUUAUUUCGCUGACGGUAAGGCCAAUAUAAAGAAGCUGUCAGCAGGUUUGGCUUUGACGCGUUUGAACUUAUAACUAAUCCAGCGUUCAGCUAAGUGCUUCUGCCGAUAUAAUCAGGUUCAGGAUUUCUUUGAAGCUUGGAUUUAAAUGUCCGAAAAGAGUUCAUCGUCCGGUUCGGAUGAGGAUGUGGACCCGGAAUCCGGGCAGCCUGUGGAGUUCGGAGGCGUUUUAAGCAAGUGGACAAAUUACAUACACGGAUGGCAGGACCGAUGGGUCGUGUUGAAAAACAAUACUUUGAGCUACUACAAGUCGGAGGAUGAACGGGAGUACGGCUGCAGGGGGUCUCUGUGCCUCAGCAAGGCUGUCAUCACACCUCAUGAGUUUGACGAGUGUCGUUUUGACAUCAGCGUGAACGACAGCGUUUGGUACCUCAGAGCUGAAGAUCCCGAGCAUAGACUCCAGUGGAUAGAGUCAAUAGAGCUGCACAAGGCCGAGUCUGGUUAUGGUUCAGAAACCAGUCUCAGGCGUCAUGGUUCCAUGUUGUCUCUCACCUCAGCAGCCAGUGCCUUGUCUGCUACAUCCACAUCCUCCUUCAAGAAGGGGCACAGGUUGCGUGAGAAGCUAGCAGAAAUGGAGACCUUCCGGGACAUUCUGUGCAGACAAGUGGACACACUGCAGAAAUACUUUGACUCCUGUGCUGAUGCUGUCUCCAAAGAUGAAUUUCAGAGAGACGGAGUAGAGGAGUACGAAGAUGACUUUCUAACCACAGCAAGACCCGACGGUGAAUAUAAUCACAACAACAAUGGCAGCAAAGAGAAAUUGUUUCCACCUGCCAGUCCCAAAGGUAUGAACGGGAUAGACUUCAAGGGUGAGGCCAUCACCUUUAAGGCCACCACAGCAGGCAUCCUGUCUACCUUGUCCCACUGCAUCGAACUGAUGGUCAAACGAGAGGACAGCUGGCAGAAGAGACUGGAUAAGGAGCUAGAGAAGAGGAGGAGGAUUGAAGAUGCCUACAAGUCUGCUAUAAGUGAACUGAAGAAAAAGUCACACUACGGAGGGCCAGACUACGAGGAGGGGCCCAACAGUCUGAUCAAUGAGGACGAGUUCUUUGAUGCGGUGGAAGCUGCACUGGACAGACAGGACAAGAUAGAGGAGCAGUGCCAGUCAGAGAAGGUCAGGAUACCUCGACUUACUCUGGUUCCUCCUGGAGACGCCUACUCCAUCAUCGGUACACACCGAUUUGCCACCAAGCCCCAUAGCCAUUCUUCUUCCCUGUCCUCGGUUGAGCUAGUCAGUGCUUCAGAUGACAUUCACAGAUUCAGCAUUCAGGUGGAGGAGAUGGUGCAGAAUCAUAUGACUUACUCUCUUCAGGAUGUGGGCGGAGAUGCCAACUGGCAGCUGGUAAUAGAAGAAGGAGAGAUGAAGGUGUACAGGAGAGAAGUAGAGGAGAAUGGUAUUGUGCUGGAUCCUCUGAAAGCUACACAUUCUGUGAAAGGGGUGACAGGACACGAGGUCUGCCACUACUUCUGGGAUACAGCUGUCCGAUUGGACUGGGAGACCACCAUUGAAAAUUUCAACGUUGUGGAAACACUGUCUGAUAAUGCCGUCAUUGUUUACCAGACGCACAAGAGAGUGUGGCCUGCCUCUCAAAGGGACGUGCUCUAUCUGUCAGCCAUCAGGAAGAUCUUGGCAACAAACGAAAAUGACCCUGACACAUGGCUGGUCUGCAACUUCUCUGUGGACCAUGACAAUGCCCUUCCCACAAACAGGUGUGUUCGUGCCAAAAUCAACGUCGCUAUGAUCUGCCAAACACUGGUCAGCCCACCAGAGGGUGAUAAAGAGAUCAGCAGAGACAACAUCCUUUGCAAGAUCACCUACGUUGCCAAUGUAAACCCAGGAGGAUGGGCUCCAGCCUCAGUCCUCAGGGCCGUCGCCAAGAGAGAGUAUCCCAAGUUCCUCAAACGCUUCACCUCCUAUGUCCAGGAGAAGACAUCUGGGAAGCCCAUCCUCUUCUGAACACAAAGAGGUAACCAGGAACCGGAAAACAUCUUGUUUUACAACUGAGAAAGCAACUAAACUGAUGGGCUUGCGGAGGGCCGAGGUUGACCUCUGAAAGACUACAUUGUUCCAUGUUUAACAACCCCUCGACGACUACAUGACCCAUUUGCCUGUCAACUAGAAUGUGUUUUCAGACUUACUACAUGCUGGACACCAUAUCAUCCAGGAUGUCCCACAGGACACCUGCUUGUAGAAGAGACUGGUUUUACUGCUUUAAUCCAUCAGUAGUUGUCAUCCCAGCCACAUUAUAAUGGCAUGAAACCAUCUGUUGGUCAUUUGUAUGUAAAUUCAAGAGUUUCGUAAGUGUUUUUUGAAUUGUUGUCACCAAUUAUUAGCUUUUUUUGUAAAUUGUUUUGUACAUUUCUUAUGAUUCCAUACUUGACUUUUUUGGGUUUGCUUUAAUCACUAGUAUUACAGCUACUUGUUAUGCUGCUGCUAAAUUAACUACCAUGGGAGAGGAAAGUAGACAUUGACAGGAAAAGCACUGACGAGGUGUGGUACAGUAUCUCCUCUUUCUUGCCUUCUCCUGUCCCUCUAGUGAUGACUCUGCAGUUUGAUGGGGGGUCAGAACCUAAGUUUUGAAAUCUUUAUAUUUCUAGAUUGUUAAUAAAGUAGCUUUCGGAGAGCACCAUGGACACAGUGUAUUGUACAGAGAAACCAAUGUGAGAAAUGUGAAUUGACUGUUAUAACGCUUGAAUUUGAUUACCGAAAUGGGCCAAGGAAACCUGCAGUGGGAGAUGAAGAGCAUUUAACUAAUUGUCUUAUGUUGGACAAUAUUUUUGACACAGUUGAAGUCAUAAUCAAUAAUUGGAUUUCUAUGAUGUAGUUGACUUUGGUCUGUUGAUGCUAAGUCUCGGUCUAUUGGCUCUGUAUAUCUGUCUUUAACCUCUGUGUAAGACAGAUCUUUGCAAAUGGCCAGCCAUAGUGUCUGACAUAAAGAAUCCUCUCUUUCAGUGAGAGAUGAGUGGAUACAUUUUGUACACGCUUGGUUGUUUUUCACCAUUUUCAGCCCCUAAUGAGGCAGCGUCACAAGUGUCAGGUUUGUAAAUUAGUCCUGCUGCUAUUGUGCAGGUACAAUUGUAAAAUGUUUAGUAAGAUAUCAUUUCCACCCUAUGCUCUGUCAUACUCUAACAUUACAUUUCAUAUGCCACACUACAGUGCAGUGGCCUACUGCCCUUUUGACUGAUUAACUACCCCCAGAAUGCCUUAGACACCAGGACGAACUCUAAAAAUCCCGGUUAUCUCUAUUGUACAGCCACCAGAUGUGCAUUUAUUAACCCUGAAAUGAAGUGGGCGGGCUGGGGAGUGUCAGCAUUUCACAUCACCUUACCUCAAGAUUUAAAUUUACUCUAGAUUGUGUUUAACACCAUCAAAAGUUGGGAGUUUGUGUCUGUGAUGGUGGAAAAUUCACCAUCAGAUUUUUGGUCUAAGGGGGUCCGAGGAUAGGAAGGAUCUGGAUUAUUGUUUUGCUGAUGAUUACAAGAGCUAGAUCUACAAGCAAUGUCAGCUGAAUAAUUCAUUUAGUGUUUUUAAUUUUGAUAUUUUGACAGUAAUCUACACACUUUGUAUAUUUCUAAGUUGUACAUCAGAAGUGUUAUUAUUUGCACUAAAUGUAAUGCAAUUUGACAAUGUUAUGUAAAUUAAAAUUGUUACACAACAGAAA
Molecule: RNA transcript, 4164 nt
Organism: Micropterus salmoides (largemouth bass)
Lineage: Eukaryota; Metazoa; Chordata; Actinopteri; Centrarchiformes; Centrarchidae
Gene name: ceramide transfer protein-like
Exons: 18
Source: RefSeq, a predicted model, not a curated record